CUUGCUUGGUGGAUCAGUGGCGAACGGGUGAGUAACACGUGAGCAACCUGCCCUGAACUCUGGGAUAAGCGCUGGAAACGGCGUCUAAUACUGGAUAUGAGCUGCGGAGGCAUCUUCGUGGUUGGAAAGAUUUUUCGGUUUGGGAUGGGCUCGCGGCCUAUCAGCUUGUUGGUGAGGUAAUGGCUCACCAAGGCGUCGACGGGUAGCCGGCCUGAGAGGGUGACCGGCCACACUGGGACUGAGACACGGCCCAGACUCCUACGGGAGGCAGCAGUGGGGAAUAUUGCACAAUGGGCGGAAGCCUGAUGCAGCAACGCCGCGUGAGGGAUGACGGCCUUCGGGUUGUAAACCUCUUUUAGCAGGGAAGAAGCGAAAGUGACGGUACCUGCAGAAAAAGCGCCGGCUAACUACGUGCCAGCAGCCGCGGUAAUACGUAGGGCGCAAGCGUUAUCCGGAAUUAUUGGGCGUAAAGAGCUCGUAGGCGGUUUGUCGCGUCUGCUGUGAAAUCUGGGGGCUCAACCCCCAGCCUGCAGUGGGUACGGGCAGACUAGAGUGCGGUAGGGGAGAUUGGAAUUCCUGGUGUAGCGGUGGAAUGCGCAGAUAUCAGGAGGAACACCGAUGGCGAAGGCAGAUCUCUGGGCCGUAACUGACGCUGAGGAGCGAAAGGGUGGGGAGCAAACAGGCUUAGAUACCCUGGUAGUCCACCCCGUAAACGUUGGGAACUAGUUGUGGGGUCCAUUCCACGGAUUCCGUGACGCAGCUAACGCAUUAAGUUCCCCGCCUGGGGAGUACGGCCGCAAGGCUAAAACUCAAAGGAAUUGACGGGGACCCGCACAAGCGGCGGAGCAUGCGGAUUAAUUCGAUGCAACGCGAAGAACCUUACCAAGGCUUGACAUACACGAGAACGCUGCAGAAAUGUAGAACUC
RNAcentral lists this ribosomal RNA (926 nucleotides) under Microbacterium aurantiacum. RNAcentral's name for it is "bacterial SSU rRNA". It matches the Rfam family "Bacterial small subunit ribosomal RNA", at positions 79 to 1016 of the family's 1533-position model. Lineage: Bacteria; Bacillati; Actinomycetota; Actinomycetes; Micrococcales; Microbacteriaceae. The record is from RNAcentral.